UACGUAGGGGGCUAGCGUUGUCCGGAAUCAUUGGGCGUAAAGCGCGUGUAGGCGGCUCGGUAAGUCCGCUGUGAAAGUCGGGGGCUCAACCCUCGGAUGCCGGUGGAUACUGUCGAGCUUGAGUACGGAAGAGGCGAGUGGAAUUCCUGGUGUAGCGGUGAAAUGCGCAGAUAUCAGGAGGAACACCAGCGGCGAAGGCGGCGCUCUGGGCCGGUACUGACACUGAGGAGCGAAAGCGUGGGUAGCAAACAGG
RNAcentral lists this ribosomal RNA (253 nucleotides) under uncultured bacterium. Its description in RNAcentral is "partial 16S ribosomal RNA". It matches the Rfam family "Bacterial small subunit ribosomal RNA", at positions 524 to 776 of the family's 1533-position model. The record is from RNAcentral.